This 96-nucleotide ribosomal RNA is filed under the name uncultured bacterium. Its description in RNAcentral is "partial 16S ribosomal RNA". It matches the Rfam family "Bacterial small subunit ribosomal RNA", at positions 395 to 508 of the family's 1533-position model. The record is from RNAcentral.
UGCCGCGUGAGUGAUGAAGGCCUUCGGGUUGUAAAACUCUUUUACCAGGGAAGAUAAUGACUGUACCUGGAGAAUAAGCCCCGGCUAACUUCGUGC